GACGAACGCUGGCGGCGUGCUUAACACAUGCAAGUCGAACGGAAAGGCCCCUUCGGGGGUACUCGAGUGGCGCACGGGCGCGUAACACGUUCGUAACUUGCCCUUGACUUCUGGUUUACUUCAUUAAACUGGGUCUAAUACGUGAUAGGAAUAAUUUCUUCAUGGUUGGGGGUGGAAAGCUUUGGUGGUCUUGGGUGGACUUGCGGCUUACUAGUCUGGUGGUGGGGUAGUGGCUUACCAAGGCCUUGGCUGGUAGCCGGCCUGAGAGGGGGACCGGCCACCUUGGGACCGAGAGCCGGCCCCGACUCCUACCGGGGGCAACAGUGGGGAAUCAUGCCCAAUGGGCCGGAGCCCGAUGCAGCAACGCCGCGUGCCGGAAGACCGCCUUCGGGUUGGAAACCGCUUUCAGCAGGUGCGAAGCUUGUGGUGACGGUACCUGCUGAAGAAGCACCGGCUAACUACGUG
Molecule: ribosomal RNA, 465 nt
Filed under: uncultured bacterium
Lineage: Bacteria
Description: partial 16S ribosomal RNA
Rfam family: Bacterial small subunit ribosomal RNA
Source: RNAcentral